CACGAGGGCGAUAUAGGAUAAGAAAUGUCAAUGCCAUAGCAGCUUUACUUAUAACAUGAAUGUCAAAUAUUAUUACAAGCUAUGGCCGCAUGAAGGGGCUGCAGGAUAAAUACCGGCGGCACCAGAACUGCUUAAAUAAUGAAACGGGCUUCAGGAGCGGUAUACAUAUUUGCAUGCAUGUUUAAAUUAGCCUCUACCACUUCUGCUGGGAGGCUGUUCCAUUUAUCUACCACUCAGGCAGUGAGGUAAAACUUUCUUAAAUUGCAUUUAAACCUCUAACCUAACUAUAAAUUUAUAGUUCAAUUAAGGAGCCAGCCCUGUAUGAUGUAUGCUUUACUAGGAGUCCAGCCUUGUAUGCUGUAUAGUUAAUCAGCAGCCUGCAGAGCUUUUUCCUUCUUCGUUUUGGUACGAGAAUGCAUAUUAAAUUAAUUCCAAAGUAGUUUGCCAGAGAGGGAAGUGUUAAUGUGUUUAACCAUUGCAUUGUGUAUUAUUUCUGUGUUAUCAGUAUUUGGCAUCGUGUGAUCUCCUUGAGCCGGACUGUUAUCGUUCCUGAUCGCUUGCGUUGCUGCAUUUUCCAAGAUGGCGGAUCCAAACAGGGUGUUCCAAGAUGGCCGGCGGCGACUGGGUGUUCCAAGAUGGCCGGCGGCGACUGGGUGUUCCUAGAUGGCCGACCGCAACUGGGUGUUCCAAGAUGGAGUGUGACGUUCCACAUGAACGAGGGAUUUAUGUGAUUUAUUCAUUUUCUUUUGCUCAUCGGGUCUGUGAGGUAAUAAUAAAAAGCUAAUUAAACA
Long non-coding RNA from Spea bombifrons (plains spadefoot toad), 791 nucleotides. RefSeq lists it as uncharacterized. The record is from RefSeq and is a predicted model, not a curated record. The transcript is spliced from 2 exons. NCBI's taxonomy places the organism in Eukaryota, Metazoa, Chordata, Amphibia, Anura, Pelobatidae.